Molecule: long non-coding RNA, 455 nt
Organism: Mesocricetus auratus (golden hamster)
Lineage: Eukaryota; Metazoa; Chordata; Mammalia; Rodentia; Cricetidae
Exons: 3
Source: RefSeq, a predicted model, not a curated record
CAGAGAAAAAAGACAAUAUAUGGGAGGGGGAACAUUUUUAAACAUUGCACCUGACAGCAAUUAACUCCUAAAUUUUUAAGCAAGUAACUGAUGGCCACAAGAAGCUCAAACAGCACAAUGAGUAUGAAACAUCCACCUUUCAUGUUAAAAAAGAGCCAACCACAUUGUUUUUUGGGACAAGAUCUCUCACUGGUCUGGAACUCUUGAAGUCGGCUGAACUGCAUUGACGUUGAGUGCCGGGGAUCUUCCUGUCUCUGGCUCUUCCGUGCUGGGACCGUCUUUCCCAAGUUUAUGUAAGCUCAGGGAAACUAACUGAGGUAUGUGUGCUCAUAAAUCAGGUGCUUUCCUGACUGAAUCAUCUCCCAAUCCCCACUUCUUUUGGAACACUCAUCACCAUGUGGUUCAUGUAGACAUCACUCAUCAGUACUAUGUAUGAUGAAUUUGUCCUAGUAAAC